GAGAAAGCCCUUGGGUACCCAGCUC
RNAcentral lists this non-coding RNA (25 nucleotides) under Rattus norvegicus (Norway rat). The record is from RNAcentral. Lineage: Eukaryota; Metazoa; Chordata; Mammalia; Rodentia; Muridae.